UGCGGCCGGCGGAUGUUUGAGAGGGUCUGCCCUUAGUACGAGAGGACCGGGGUGGACCUGCCUCUGGCGUGCCAGUUGUCCUGCCAAGGGCAAGCGCUGGGUAGCCAAGCAGGGAAGGGAUAACCGCUGAAAGCAUCUAAGCGGGAAGCCCGCCUCAAGACGAGACAUCCCAUGGGGCUCGACCCCACCGAAGGCCCCCGGGACAAUACCGGGUCGAUAGGCCGCAGGCGCAGGCGCGGCGACGCGCACAGCCGAGCGGUACUAAUAGGCCGCGAGGCUUGGCCAU
RNAcentral lists this ribosomal RNA (286 nucleotides) under Treponema sp. Its description in RNAcentral is "partial 23S ribosomal RNA". It matches the Rfam family "Bacterial large subunit ribosomal RNA", at positions 2646 to 2925 of the family's 2925-position model. The record is from RNAcentral. Lineage: Bacteria; Pseudomonadati; Spirochaetota; Spirochaetia; Treponematales; Treponemataceae.